RNAcentral lists this ribosomal RNA (253 nucleotides) under uncultured bacterium. Its description in RNAcentral is "partial 16S ribosomal RNA". It matches the Rfam family "Bacterial small subunit ribosomal RNA", at positions 524 to 776 of the family's 1533-position model. The record is from RNAcentral.
UACGGGGGGGGCAAGCGUUGUUCGGAAUUACUGGGCGUAAAGGGCUCGUAGGUGGCCAACUAAGUCAGACGUGAAAUCCCUCGGCUUAACCGGGGAACUGCGUCUGAUACUGGAUGGCUUGAGUUCGGGAGAGGGAUGCGGAAUUCCAGGUGUAGCGGUGAAAUGCGUAGAUAUCUGGAGGAACACCGGUGGCGAAGGCGGGUCUCUGGGCCGAAACUGACGCUGAGGAGCGAAAGCGUGGGGAGCAAACAGG